GACGUAGGGGGCGAGCGUUGUCCGGAUUUAUUGGGCGUAAAGCGCGUGUAGGCGGCUUUGCAAGUCGGGUGUGAAAGCCCUCAGCUCAACUGAGGAAGUGCGCCCGAAACUGCAGAGCUUGAGUGCCGGAGAGGGUGGCAGAAUUCCCCAAGUAGAGGUGAAAUUCGUAGAUAUGGGGAGGAACACCGGUGGCGAAGGCGGCCG
This 204-nucleotide ribosomal RNA is filed under the name uncultured bacterium. Its description in RNAcentral is "partial 16S ribosomal RNA". It matches the Rfam family "Bacterial small subunit ribosomal RNA", at positions 524 to 727 of the family's 1533-position model. The record is from RNAcentral.